RNAcentral lists this unclassified non-coding RNA (294 nucleotides) under Hevea brasiliensis (rubber tree). Lineage: Eukaryota; Viridiplantae; Streptophyta; Magnoliopsida; Malpighiales; Euphorbiaceae. The record is from RNAcentral.
CCUGCUUAUUCUUUGAACCCUUUGGCCGGCCUCUCUUAUUUUUUUUAUGUCUAAUCUUAUCUCCACCUAAACAUCCAUCAAUUUCUCCACCAUACAGAAUUUUCUCCUUAUUCUUUGAACCCUUUGGUCGGCCACGCCUAUUCUUCGUCUUUAUAAUUCUGCUUUCCUGUUCAAUACCACCAGUGACCUCAUUAGACACCAAAUUCUCACCACUAUCAUUUCUAUCUACAUUUUCAUUAGGCAAUUCCCAACUAUAAGGUACAAGACUUUUAAUUAUAUGUGCCGAACUCUUUG